This 339-nucleotide ribosomal RNA is filed under the name Discostella asterocostata. Its description in RNAcentral is "SSU rRNA". The record is from RNAcentral. Lineage: Eukaryota; Bacillariophyta; Thalassiosirophyceae; Thalassiosirales; Thalassiosiraceae.
AGUUAAAAAGCUCGUAGUUGGAUUYCUGGCAGGAGCGACGGGUCGUGCACUCCGUGCAUGUACUUGGUUGUCUCUGGCCAUCCUUGGGGAGAUCCUGUUUGGCAUUAAGUUGUCGGGCAGGGAAUACCCAUCGUUUACUGUGAAAAAAUUAGGGUGUUUAAAGCAGGCUUAUGCCGUUGAAUAUAUUAGCAUGGAAUAAUAAGAUAGGACUUUGGACCUACUUGUUGGUUUGCGUUACAAAGUAAUGAUUAAUAGGGACAGUUGGGGGUAUUCGUAUUUCGUUGUCAGAGGUGAAAUUCUUKGAUUUCCGAAAGACGAACUACUGCGAAAGCAUUUACC